Mugil cephalus (flathead mullet) is the source of this 1464-nucleotide long non-coding RNA. RefSeq lists it as uncharacterized. The record is from RefSeq and is a predicted model, not a curated record. The transcript is spliced from 5 exons. Lineage: Eukaryota; Metazoa; Chordata; Actinopteri; Mugiliformes; Mugilidae.
AGAGGAAACAACAUCAGUGACUCCAUCUGAAACUUCAUUUCCACUUAGGAUAUCACUGAUCGUUGUAACUGUGGCUUUAGCAGCUCUCAUUAUAACUGUUGUAGCAGUCGUCAGGAGGAAGAGAACCAAAGGAAACAGAACACAGACGGGUAAAAACACUGAGCUGAGCGUAAACCCUGAUGUGAUUCAACCUGGUCGAGAAACCGGUCGUCAACAGGCUGAUGUUGCAGAUGAUGUUUACUACACCUCCAUCAGAUACAUCAAGAACACAAACAGUAAAGCCAGGGUUCGGGGUAAAUCUAAUGAGGGUAAUGCAGUGACUUACAGCACCGUCAAAGCUCCGCCCACUUUAGCCGGAGCCUCCACUGAUCCCCAAAGCCUCUACUCCACCAUCACAUCACCACACAUCUAAGAAGACACUGUUGCCAUAUUAGAAUCAGCCAUUUUUAACAGUGUUGCAUUGUGCUGCAAUUGCUGUGUAAUUUUAUCCCUCUAGAGGGUGUAGUGGAGCAAGUAUCACACUGUGAAAAGUAGCUGUAAGUAAAUCAUUUGGCCUCUUGCAGUGUGCAAAGUAUAAAAGAAAAAAGUUAAAUAUUUAUUUUCAGGGAUGAAAGGUGAAAUUGAAUGUUUUUGCAUUGUUGCUUUUUCUAAUGAUUAAGUUCUGUUUAAGCAAAUGUCUGUUAAGAUUGGACAAGAGUAGAGGAUAUAUAUACAAUAUUUGAACUGGAUGUGGCUGUUGAGGUGAAUUUAUCAAUAAGUGGGAAAAAUGAAAACAGACACAUUUUGGGUUUUGAUUUUCUUCUUAUUAUUAUUGUUAUUAAAUAUUAUUAUUAUUAUUAUUAUUAUUAUUGUUGUUGUUGUUAUUAGUAAUAGUAGUAGUAGUAGUAGUAGUUGGGACAGUGCACAUUAAUGAACUUUGAUACGUUAGUCAUCACUGUAAAUGCUCUGGACUUAGCACAAAUGCUAAUUUUCAGCCAUAGCCCAAGGCAGAUACACAAGACAUACCCAGACGACUGUAAAACAACAAUCAUACAACAGACAACUACAGAACCAGACACCGAUAGACAAUACAUCGAAACAGACAACAUUAAGACAAAACAUUUGACCCACAAUUCUACAAAACAUUUAAGACCAAGAACCCUGAGAGUAUGCAUCCGAUUAAUAAAACUAUUUGGGCUAUGUGAGUAAAUAAUGUGAUUUAUUGUUAACCAAUGUUUUUAAAGUAAGUAUUUGUUGCAGUUUCUGAUGUAACUGUGUUUCUCUUACAGAUGAGACCAUCUGGGAGAAUUUAGUCCUGUACCUCUAUACACUACAGUCACCUCUAGUCAGAGCUCUCAUUACUCGUCCUUGAGUGUUUUUUCUCUGGAUGAAUUCAUUCAGUGGUGGUGGAGGCAAAACUUUAAAAAUGAGACAGACAUCAUAAAGAUUUGGUAGCUGUCUGGAUCAUAUGUUUUUUUUGGGACG